UACGGAGGGUGCAAGCGUUAUCCGGAUUUACUGGGUUUAAAGGGUGCGUAGGCGGAUUAGUAAGUCCGUGGUGAAAUCCCCGAGCUCAACUUGGGAACUGCCAUGGAUACUAUUAGUCUUGAAUACCGUGGAGGUAAGCGGAAUAUGUCAUGUAGCGGUGAAAUGCUUAGAUAUGACAUAGAACACCGAUUGCGAAGGCAGCUUACUACGCGGUAAUUGACGCUGAUGCACGAAAGCGUGGGGAUCAAACAGG
Molecule: ribosomal RNA, 253 nt
Filed under: uncultured bacterium
Lineage: Bacteria
Description: partial 16S ribosomal RNA
Rfam family: Bacterial small subunit ribosomal RNA
Source: RNAcentral